UGGGAAUAUUGGCACAAUGGGCGAAAGGCCUGAAUGCAGCAACGCCGCGUGCGGGAUGACGGCCUUCGGGCUUGGUAAAACCGCUUUCAGCAGGGACGAAGGUUUUCUGACGGUACCUGCAGAAGAAGCACCGGCUAACUACGUGCCAGCAGCCGCGGUGAUACGUAGGGUGCGAGCGUUGUCCGGAAUUAUUGGGCGUAAAGAGCUUGUAGGCGGUCCGUUGCGUCGGAAGUGAAAACUCAGGGCUUAACCCUGAGCCUGCUUUCGAUACGGGCGGACUUGAGGGAUGUAGGGGAGAACGGAAUUCCUGGUGGAGCGGUGGAAUGCGCAGAUAUCAGGAGGAACACCAGUGGCGAAGGCGGUUCUCUGGACAUUUCCUGACGCUGAGAAGCGAAAGCGUGGGGAGCAAACAGGCUUAGAUACCCUGGUAGUCCACGCCGUAAACGGUGGCACUAGGUGUGGGACCCAUUCCACGGGUUCCGUGCCGUAGCUAACGCAUUAAGUGCCCCGCCU
RNAcentral lists this ribosomal RNA (513 nucleotides) under uncultured bacterium. RNAcentral describes it as "partial 16S ribosomal RNA". It matches the Rfam family "Bacterial small subunit ribosomal RNA", at positions 356 to 874 of the family's 1533-position model. The record is from RNAcentral.